Molecule: ribosomal RNA, 465 nt
Filed under: Vreelandella stevensii
Lineage: Bacteria; Pseudomonadati; Pseudomonadota; Gammaproteobacteria; Oceanospirillales; Halomonadaceae
Description: partial 16S ribosomal RNA
Rfam family: Bacterial small subunit ribosomal RNA
Source: RNAcentral
CCUACGGGAGGCUGCAGUGGGGAAUAUUGGACAAUGGGCGAAAGCCUGAUCCAGCCAUGCCGCGUGUGUGAAGAAGGCCUUCGGGUUGUAAAGCACUUUCAGUGGGGAAGAAAGCCUUGGGGCUAAUACCCUCGAGGAAGGACAUCACCCACAGAAGAAGCACCGGCUAACUCCGUGCCAGCAGCCGCGGUAAUACGGAGGGUGCGAGCGUUAAUCGGAAUUACUGGGCGUAAAGCGCGCGUAGGCGGUCUGAUAAGCCGGUUGUGAAAGCCCCGGGCUCAUCCUGGGAACGGCAUCCGGAACUGUCAGGCUAGAGUGCAGGAGAGGAAGGUAGAAUUCCCGGUGUAGCGGUGAAAUGCGUAGAGAUCGGGAGGAAUACCAGUGGCGAAGGCGGCCUUCUGGACUGACACUGACGCUGAGGUGCGAAAGCGUGGGUAGCAAACAGGAUUAGAUACCCUAGUAGUC